This 18-nucleotide small nuclear RNA is filed under the name Arabidopsis thaliana (thale cress). Its description in RNAcentral is "snRNA_10750". The record is from RNAcentral. Lineage: Eukaryota; Viridiplantae; Streptophyta; Magnoliopsida; Brassicales; Brassicaceae.
GUUAUAUUGUUGGGUAAA